This 31-nucleotide non-coding RNA is filed under the name Mus musculus (house mouse). The record is from RNAcentral. Lineage: Eukaryota; Metazoa; Chordata; Mammalia; Rodentia; Muridae.
UGAAAUGAAGAGAACCCCUUAUUCUCUGUGU